AGUCGCGUGAUAAGCACAAAGCGAAUUAUUCUUCCGCCUUUUACUAAAGAAUACCGUGUGCGUUCCACUUAUAGCGACAUACUCCAAUUUUUUAAGGGAUUCUCUUUUCUAAGAAAU
Humulus lupulus (European hop) is the source of this 117-nucleotide small nuclear RNA. RefSeq annotates it as U5 spliceosomal RNA. NCBI's taxonomy places the organism in Eukaryota, Viridiplantae, Streptophyta, Magnoliopsida, Rosales, Cannabaceae. The transcript has a single exon. The record is from RefSeq and is a predicted model, not a curated record.